Alligator mississippiensis (American alligator) is the source of this 1440-nucleotide long non-coding RNA. RefSeq lists it as uncharacterized. The transcript is spliced from 2 exons. NCBI's taxonomy places the organism in Eukaryota, Metazoa, Chordata, Crocodylia, Alligatoridae. The record is from RefSeq and is a predicted model, not a curated record.
GAAAUUAACUUAAUCCUCGCCAUUACUGGCUUUUUUUUUUCAGAGGCCCCAGAUUGAGGCUUGAUCUCCAGCAGCGGCUAAUUGCCCGGGUUAAUCUGAUUAAUGCCACUGCGGGGCCGCGUUUAGCAGCUCCUCGCCUGUCCGCCCCGCACCUCCUCUCCCGCGCGGCGCGAUCCUCUGCCUCCAGCCGAGCCGCAGGAUUUCGGUCGGGAAAAGGGCCCGGCCCCGCGCAGACGGCGCUUCCUGCGGGGCAGGAACGACUCCUUUCCUUCCCAGCCUGAUGCGCGGCAGGGAGACGUGUGUCCGCGGCGGUGAUUCGCGGGCCGCGCGCUCGGUCACGGCCGCCGCGGGGAAUCCACAGGAGGCGAGUGAGCGCGAUCAGCCCGUCUGCCCCGGGGAAGCCUCCCGCACGGCAUGCAAACAAGCCAUUAGGAGCUGGAGACGAGGGACAAAUGAUUUUUUUGCUCAACAAAGGCUGCGCUCGUUAAGGCUAACGAGAGGCUUCCUCGCCUGCCUGCCCCCUCCCCCAGUGCCCCGAGGAGCCGCCAAGUGCCUGCGCCAGGGACCGGGCCCCCGCGAGCAUCCCCCCGCGCAGGUGCCGGAGCGGCUCGAGCACACGCCGGAGAGCGGCUCCUUCCCUCUGCUGCAGCGCAGCCGCUUGCACUUCGUUUCCUGGCGUUGAGCCCCGGGGUCCUGCAGCCCUCGCGGCACACGGGGAGGUGAAGCCAUGAUGUGACAGGGGCCAAACAAGCUAGUCCCGUGUCCCCGCGUCCCCCCCGGGCGCAGAUCCGCUGCCGCAUUGCGCGAUCCGGAGGCUGACUCCUGCCUGUCCUCGGGGCCAGGCCGAGGCACCGCUGCAUGCCGCCGCGGCGGGCGAUCGGCGGGGACGCAGCGAGACGAACCACCCGGUGCGGGACAGGUCUCACGGAUGCGGGACGCCUUCAACUAACUCUUGGGUGGCGUCCGCGCAGCGAAGCGGGUCCCCCCUGGGUCCCAGCGAGCACGCGAGAGUGGGGGUGGGCGACACUGCUGAAAUGCUGCGCUACGGAGCGGCCUGGGGUAACGUGCCCGGCGAGCUCCGCGAGAGCUUUGCGAGCCCUUCUACCUCGGCACUGACCAGCCCUGCUGGGGACCCUCCCUAGCUCCAGCUGCAGGCAGGCAGUCUAAUUAGUAUAAUUAAUGAUCCCCCUUCCCAAUCCUCCCCCCCAGCAUAAAACAAUUAAUUCCCACAAAGUUACACUAGUGCCUGAAAGGGAUCCUUCCUUUUAAGGUCAGCAUUACGGUGAUUUUGUAUGCACUUUAACUACUCGAAUAAUGAUGUCAGUGUCUCUUCUGCCCGAUCCCUCUAGGAUAGAUACAGAGGCAGAAAAUUAAUGAAUUCCGGGAAAUCACACAGGAGCCGCAACACCACAGUAAAGAAAUAUAUAUUUUUCUCUUUAA